Long non-coding RNA from Ornithorhynchus anatinus (platypus), 408 nucleotides. RefSeq lists it as uncharacterized. The transcript is spliced from 3 exons. NCBI's taxonomy places the organism in Eukaryota, Metazoa, Chordata, Mammalia, Monotremata, Ornithorhynchidae. The record is from RefSeq and is a predicted model, not a curated record.
AUUCGAACUCAUGACCUCUGACUCCAAAGCCCGUGCUCUUUCCACCGAGCCACGCCGCUUCUCAUGCUGACUGGAUGCUGAGCGCUGGACUGAACACCUGGAAUGAUGACAUUUUAAUGCUCACGUUAAGUAAUCGCUCCAUGAAUCCGACUUUAUUACAAACAAGAUGUGGGCCAAAUUAAAAGUCACUAAAAGCAAAAAGGACUUAUCCAGAAAUGUUAAAACAACAUUCCUCUCCCUGAAAGUGGCUCAAAGUGGACGCGGAAACUGAGGCCCAAAGAAGAUGAAUGACUCGCCCGAGGUCACAAGCAAGCCCGUGACAGAGCCGGGCCUCGAACUUGCAGCUCUUCGAUCGGGGCCCGGUGAUGCUUCCUCUGGACCCCGCUGUCUUUCUACCUGUAAGUUUGC